GGAAUGCCGAAGAGAUUUGGCAGUGCUCGCAAGAGAACCGGAACACAGGUGCUGCAUGGCUGUCGUCAGCUCGUGUCGUGAGAUGUUGGGUUAAGUCCCGCAACGAGCGCAACCCUUGUCAUUAGUUGCUACGCAAGAGCACUCUAAUGAGACUGCCGGUGACAAACCGGAGGAAGGUGGGGAUGACGUCAAGUCCUCAUGGCCCUUAUGGGUAGGGCUUCACACGUCAUACAAUGGUCGGGACAGAGGGUCGCCAACCCGCGAGGGGGAGCCAAUCUCAGAAACCCGAUCGUAGUCCGGAUCGCAGUCUGCAACUCGACUGCGUGAAGUCGGAAUCGCUAGUAAUCGCGGAUCAGAAUGUCGCGGUGAAUACGUUCCCGGGUCUUGUACACACCGCCCGUCACACCAUGGGAGUGGGUUUCACCAGAAGUAGGUAGCCUAACCGUAAGGAGGGCGCUUACCACGGUGGGAUUCAUGAC
This 479-nucleotide ribosomal RNA is filed under the name uncultured bacterium. RNAcentral's name for it is "bacterial SSU rRNA". It matches the Rfam family "Bacterial small subunit ribosomal RNA", at positions 992 to 1475 of the family's 1533-position model. The record is from RNAcentral.